GUGAGGAAUAUUGCGCAAUGGGGGAAACCCUGACGCAGUGACGCCGCGUGAGUGAUGAAGGCUUUCGAGUCGUAAAGCUCUGUUAGGUGGAAAGAAACAUUCCGGCGCUAAUAUCGCCGGGACUUGACGGUACCACCAGAGGAAGCACCGGCUAACUCCGUGCCAGCAGCCGCGGUAAUACGGAGGGUGCAAGCGUUGUUCGGAUUUACUGGGCGUAAAGGGCGUGUAGGCGGUUAACUAAGUCAGAUGUGAAAUCCCUUAGCUUAACUAAGGAAGUGCAUUUGAAACUGGCUAACUGGAGUACAGGAGAGGAAAGUGGAAUUCCCAGUGUAGAGGUGAAAUUCAUAGAUAUUGGGAGGAACACCGGUAGCGAAGGCGGCUUUCUGGCCUGAUACUGACGCUGAGACGCGAAAGCGUGGGUAGCAAACAGGAUUAGAAACCCCGGUAGUCC
This 451-nucleotide ribosomal RNA is filed under the name uncultured bacterium. Its description in RNAcentral is "bacterial SSU rRNA". It matches the Rfam family "Bacterial small subunit ribosomal RNA", at positions 354 to 796 of the family's 1533-position model. The record is from RNAcentral.